This is a long non-coding RNA of Bos indicus x Bos taurus (hybrid cattle), 491 nucleotides long. NCBI's taxonomy places the organism in Eukaryota, Metazoa, Chordata, Mammalia, Artiodactyla, Bovidae. The record is from Ensembl.
ACCCUGAAGAGAGGAGUCUGAGAGUGGUCAAAAGACAGGAGGUGAUGGGAAGAAACAAGGCUGCAGUGAACAAAUCCGGGAUUUAUUAGUAAGCACGUGUAAUCUUUGGCAAAAGGGAACCUGAAAAUGCAUUUCCCUGGGGACCUGGCGCCAGUCGAUGCCUUUCAGCCUGCGGCUGACCUUGGAGACGCAGAAAAGCAGGAUUCCAGGACACAUUUACGACCGUCAUAAUUGUGAGUUAGAGAUCUCCCAGGCCAAGUGAAAUGAAAUUACGAGAAACUGAAAUCUGUUUUAAUUGGAGCAUUUAUGGAAAAAAGAAGUCAGGGUGGCUGCUUUUUUCCUUUAUGUGACUCCAGUUCAUAGCCGUACCUGUGUGUCCAGGGCUGGGGAAACUCGGGCCAAGACAGUGGGGAGGAAAGGAGAGAGAAUGAGGUAGGUGUGUCAGGAAGGAGUCAUUUUCUUAGCUGAAAAAAAAUGGAGGUACAGUCGCC